Molecule: ribosomal RNA, 389 nt
Filed under: uncultured Nitrospina sp.
Lineage: Bacteria; Pseudomonadati; Nitrospinota; Nitrospinia; Nitrospinales; Nitrospinaceae
Description: bacterial SSU rRNA
Rfam family: Bacterial small subunit ribosomal RNA
Source: RNAcentral
AACGAACGCUGGCGGCGUGCCUAACACAUGCAAGUCGAACGAGAAAGUUUCCUUCGGGAAACCAGUAAAGUGGCGCAAGGGUGAGUAACACGUGAAUAAUCUGCCUAUGAAUUCGGGAUAACUUGACGAAAGUUGCGCUAAUACCGAAUAAGACCACGUCUCUUAUGUGAUGUGGCCAAAGGAGUCUCAAACUCCGUUUAUAGAUGAGUUCGCGGACCAUUAGCUUGUUGGCGGGAUAAUAGCCCACCAAGGCUACGAUCAGUAGCUGGUCUGAGAGGAUGAUCAGCCACACUGGGACUGAGACACGGCCCAGACUCCUACGGGAGGCAGCAGUGGGGAAUUUUCCGCAAUGGACGAAAGUCUGACGGAGCAACGCCGCGUGAGGGAUG